RNAcentral lists this unclassified non-coding RNA (650 nucleotides) under Hevea brasiliensis (rubber tree). The record is from RNAcentral. Lineage: Eukaryota; Viridiplantae; Streptophyta; Magnoliopsida; Malpighiales; Euphorbiaceae.
UUUUUUUUUUUCCUUUUUUUUUCUAUUGACUUCUUACUCUUCUCUGCUGGUCACCAUUCUAUUCUUACUUCCUAUUUCAUGUAAUUGCUUGCAGAUAGCUAGUUUUAUCAAGACUCACAUAUUUAGCCGGAGAAGACCGAUUGAUGGGUGGAAAUAUAUGAUAGAGGAGCUGGGACCAAAUGCCAAGAAAGGGAAAGGUAGUGUCUCAAGGAUACCAAGUCUUUCUGACUCAUCAACUCAACCAUUUAAGGAGGAGAGGACAACAGUUGGCAACAAUUUCAUGCCCUUGAAGGGGAAAUAGUUGCAGGUUUCAAUUUUGCAAUUUUGUCACAUAAUCAACAUGCUUCAAUUCAAUUACCUCUCAUGUCAUGUGUUAUAAUUAUUUCUUUCAUUUGCUAUCAUCAAAUGCAAGCAGCACAUGGUUCAGAUUGACCUUGCAUUUGCAUAGCAAAAAUACCCAAAAUUGUGAUUUUGGGGAAUUAGAGAGAAUAAACUGGUGGAUAUUGCUAGUCAUGUUCAAUGUGCUGUGAGAACAAGUACAGGUGAAUGUGAAUUGUUUGUUCCGAUUCAGAAAGCAAUAUUUUCAUGUCGCUGCUGUUGUGCAUGUUUGGCAUUAAGGGUGGAAGAAUAAAACUGCUUCUGAAGGAAAA